UACGGAGGGUGCAAGCGUUGUCCGGAUUUAUUGGGUUUAAAGGGUGCGUAGGCGGGGCCUUAAGUCAGUGGUGAAAGCCGGCAGCUCAACUGUCGAAUUGCCAUUGAUACUGGGGUCCUUGAAUUCAGUUGAGGUAUGCGGAAUUGAUGGUGUAGCGGUGAAAUGCAUAGAUACCAUCAGGAACACCGAUUGCGAAGGCAGCAUACUGGGCUUGAAUUGACGCUGAGGCACGAAAGUGUGGGGAUCGAACAGG
This 253-nucleotide ribosomal RNA is filed under the name uncultured bacterium. RNAcentral's name for it is "partial 16S ribosomal RNA". It matches the Rfam family "Bacterial small subunit ribosomal RNA", at positions 524 to 776 of the family's 1533-position model. The record is from RNAcentral.